GCAGCCAUCUGUUUCAAGAGGUGUAUUUGGAAAAAUACAACAGGCUUGUGCGGCUCUUCCCAGCAGGUUAUCAUGUUUGCCAGAAAUUUUAUUUUAUGUGAUCUCUUACAGUUUUGUUAUUGAGAUUAUGCUUCUGCUGCCUGCUGGUGGAUUUUUUUAUCGUUCAAUUAUUUUUUGUACUCGUAGGAAGCUGUAAAUUUGAUAGUAGUUUACUUUAUUGUAGGUGAUUCAGUCCCAGUGGUGGUGGUGGUUGUGUUUAGGCUUGUGUAGAAUAAACAGGAUAUCUAUACUGAUAAUUAUGUUAAACAUGUAUUCGUGACCCAAACAGAUUUAGGUAGCAAUUUAUAGAUUAUAUGGAAAUGGAAUUAUUGGAAACGGGUAAACAGCUAUGUUCAGGUUCUAGGCAUGAAUAUAACAAGACUAUUUUAUUAAAUAUAUUGUAUUGAACAGAGACAGCCUCCUCGUUUAUUAAAAACUUAUCCAAUGUAAUGACAUAACAAUAUUGUUCUAUGGAUUUUGAUAUUAGGUCUAUCUCAUAAUGUUUGCAACUUAAUUCUACUAAUAAAGAAAAUUUAUCUUCCUUCUCAUUUAAUUAAAUAGUAAAAUUUCUCUUUUUAUAUAUUCAAAAUAUAAUUUUUUGAAAAUUAGGGUUCAUCAAUUUGUAGCACAGUCAACAAUGCGAUAUGCGUAAUUUAUUACUUUCUUUAAUAAUUAACUUCAUCUAGAAUGUUUUGAAGUUCCCAUUUCUACAUGAAGCUCAACAAGGUUUAAUUCCAAUCUCAAAUGAAUGGAAAGCUUGGUUAUUUGUGCCCCUUGAAUGUUGACAUUGAAUGAAUCGUGACGCUAAAUGUAUGAAACACUUUAUUGUAGAAGGACCCAAGGGUGGCAUGCAGAAAUCUCAUCAUUACUUUUUUUCCCCUGUUGGAUGUCCCCUUCUUUAUUCUUUUUGAGAAAUUAACCUUGCAUUUCUUGCUUCACUCUCAAUAUGUCAUUUCAAUGCAGCGUAUUUGAAGCUGAAAGGCCAGGAUGUAAAUUCUCUGUGAAGCAGCGCAUUGCUACAUACUUCUAUAAGGGGGUAUUAUACGGUUCAGUUGGGUUUGGGUGUGGACUCAUUGGCCAAGGCAUUGCUAAUCUGAUCAUGACUGCCAAACGGUACACUUCUGUCUAGAUGAUUACUAUUUGGUUUCUGUUCUUAUUAUCAUACUUGAUUGUGAUUUUAAAAUGUGAUUAACAUGUUAUUGUGUUCCAACUUCAAAUCUGUGUGUUAACUGUGCAACAUAUGCAUUGUUUUAUUUAUUUAUUUUUCUUUCUUUCUAUUUAACUGAUCAAAUUGGUUUGGCAUAUGGGCCACAAGCUCGAACAUCAGUAUUUGGCAACUUCAUUUAUAUCCAAUAAAGUUAUAUUGUGUAUUAUUUAAUUUGUCAUGAUGAAUUUGCCAGUGAAAUUUUUUCAGCAAGUUAGUGAUGCAAUUUCUUGCAUGUCACCGGAUUAACAUUUGUCCUUCCAGCUGGCUAAGCAUUUGGAAGAACAUAUCCCACACAAGAGGAUAUCAGUACCUAUGGAGAGAUCCUCUCCAUUUUACUUUUUUUUCUCCUGUUUCUCAUGUUAUCUUCAUCUUCCUUCCAACUUCCAUUAAUUGCCGAAUCUGAUUAAGAGUUCUAUUUCCAUCUUUUCUUAUCCAAAAAGGAGUUCUACUGUAAUGAUAUAGUCUUUUAGCAUAGGCUGUUUGUUGUUUCUAUUUUUUUGAAGGCAGGUAAUGACCUUUUUUCCCCUUAUAUUCAGGAGCAUAAAGAAAUCAGAAGAGGAUAUUCCAGUUCCACCUCUUGUGCAAAGUGCUGUUCUUUGGGGUAUGUCUUUAUUCAAUGUUAAUGUGCCAACCUUUGGUUUCUAAUUCUGCUCCAAUGUUACUUUUGCAUUUUUUUCAGAACUAUUUCUAUUUAUCUGAGCAUUUAUAUUAUUAGUGUUCUAUAUUUAGUUCAGGUUUGAGAAGAUAUUAAUAUUUAAAAUUCUAUUUUCACUGCAAAUCGCUACUAUUUUAAACAACAAUAUGUAUUAUUCAUUACGGUAUAUUUAUACUGGAAAAUUUUCUUUGAAUGAUUUAGUCAGGUGAAACUUGAUAUUUGAUGCCUUCCAUCAGCAUAGUAAUCACUCUCAUAUGAUAAGUUUUUAAUCUUUCAAUCUCAUGCUUCUUCCUGCUAUUUUGCCUUUGUUGAUCAGGUGUUUUUCUUGCUGUAUCUUCCAAUACUCGUUACCAAAUCAUUAAUGGACUGGAACGCCUGGUUGAAGCAUCACCUUUGGCAAAGCAAGUCCCUCCUGUUGCAAUGACGUUCACUGUUGGUGUAAGAUUUGCCAACAAUAUAUAUGGUGGGAUGCAGUUCGUAGAUUGGGCAAAGAUGAGUGGGGUGCAGUAAUGGCAAGUCAUUUGUACAAGGCAUGCCUCUUUUUGACCAUUGAAUGCACUUUUCUCCACACUAUGAAAAGAACAUCCACGGACGUGUUUGUGGGAGAGAGAAACAGAGAUAUUUAUACAUGUUAUUUAAAUUUAGCAUCAGGUGUC
RNAcentral lists this unclassified non-coding RNA (2557 nucleotides) under Hevea brasiliensis (rubber tree). Lineage: Eukaryota; Viridiplantae; Streptophyta; Magnoliopsida; Malpighiales; Euphorbiaceae. The record is from RNAcentral.